Molecule: transfer RNA, 33 nt
Filed under: Solanum dennekense
Lineage: Eukaryota; Viridiplantae; Streptophyta; Magnoliopsida; Solanales; Solanaceae
Description: partial tRNA-Phe
Source: RNAcentral
GAAUCCUCAUGUUAACGGUUCCAAUUUCCAAUC